This 117-nucleotide ribosomal RNA is filed under the name Danio rerio (zebrafish). Lineage: Eukaryota; Metazoa; Chordata; Actinopteri; Cypriniformes; Danionidae. The record is from RNAcentral.
AGCCACAGCUAUAUCACCCUGCAGCCCGAGACCGUUUACUCACUGAAGUUAAGCAGGCUGAGCCUUGUCGGUAACUAGAUGGGAGACCACAUGGGAAAAACUAGUUUGCUCUUGGAA